GGGGGGGAUUCGCCAGAAACUUCCGCAUAGUCCAUAGGCAAGAAGGAUCAUAGAGCUCCAGGAUGGACCCGCUGGAAUGUGUCAUGUCACUGAAGAGCUGUUGUGUACCAACAAUGCUGUUAGCACAGUGUGAUCUCUAAGGGAGGUACAUUAGCAAGCAGGACCAAAACUCUGGAAGCAAGAAAGAUAAUGAGGGAAAUCAGACUCCUCUGGUGACUGGAACAAGAACGCUGGGCCAGCGAGUGGUGGAAUGCCGCAAGCUAAGCCGUGGAUCACAAGAGGAAAAUCUAUUUGGUCCGUGGCUCGGGAAAUCUGCUUUUCCGUCGAAUGGCUGGAGGCACGAAUUGGAUGCAGAGCUCUGGCUCUUCUCCCCCAAGGCCCCAACGCGGACGGCAUUUGGAAGCGGAGGAGUGAGAAAGAGGGAUAGGAAGCAGAGGCGCCGACAGCCAUGAAGUUCCUAAUGCAACUAAUCAAUCAGGAGGUAUGUCGAUUCGUCAGUAUAUUGUGAUCUUUUUCUGUUUUGCACGCGCGGAAGGGGGAACUCGCCGCAGGUGUCGUGGCUGUGUAUAGGUAAGGUCAACCCUCAAGCUCCAUGGUGGGCUAAGAGGUUAGUUCGCAACAUACUAACAUAGAGAUGUAAAAAUUCGUAGGUGGUAAUUGGGAUAGAGUACAUUUGUAGAAAUUUGGUCCUGUUCAUAUAAUUUGGAUAGAGUAUGGUAGUCGCAAGGAAGUAAUUUGGAUAUAGUAUGUUGUAAAUUUUGAUUAGCAGCUUAAUAGGGCAGUUUUGGAACUUUGCAUUUAAGAAAUGUUGCAUCCUUGGGAGAAGAAUUGGUACUCCCUCUGUAAACUAUAUAAGAUCUAAAAGAUUUUAUAUUUACAGUUGGAGUACAAAUGUACCACAAAUGCAGUUCUGCAGAUUUGGCAGAUGCUUUAAGUUUAAUAGAACAGAAUUAGGUACUAGUCAAACAUUUUUUUUCCUGGUUUAGCAGCUAAAUAGGCUGGUGAGUAGAAGUGUGGUCUCACAAGAUACUGGUUCCUUGAGGGAAUAUUUGCAGAGGCAUUUUAAAAAAUUGGAUGCUUAGGAAGAUUUUUUGUAAACAUGAUUUGCAUAACCUGUAGUUUUUUUGUCUGUUUGAAGCGAACUCGUCAUUCAGUCUAUCACCUUAUCAUUUUUGUUAUGAAAUGAAUCAUUAGUAGCAUGCCUUUUCUCUUCUUCCCAUAUUGUUUUCUGUCACAUUAAGCAUGAUUUUUUAUGUUUAUUUGAAGCAGAGGGCCUGAUGCAAAACUGUAUCAUAUUUUUACUGAUUUUUGCUGCGACGAGCCCCUUUAUUUGCUUUGCUUACAAAGCUAAUAUUUAAAUCUUUUGAUAUUUUUAGCAGAUGUUUUGGUUGAAUUGAACGGUCCAUAAGUUACAUCAUCAUAUGUUGUUCUAGCCUAUUUGAAGCUUUAGAUUUAUUUCAUAUAUGGAUCUUGGACUACAAACCGAAUCUGGAUUUGGUGACUUCAUAACCAUUGCAGCCCUGUUUCUGGUUUAUCCCUUUACGUUGGGUAUGGAUGUGUUCAUGCGUUUGUGGAUGAAGCGAAGCUUCUGUAGACUAGUAGGCGAUGGUCUUUAUAGGGCCACCCAUUGUUUUUCUGCAAUUUGUUGUGUUCUUGCUCUUCCACCUAUUUACUGAUUUGUUUACUGAUGUUACAGAAAUCUAAACCUGAAAUUAUAUUCAUCCAUGGAGUCAGGAAACAAGAACUGGAUCCAUGUGUGAAAUGACAUGUUCAAUAAACCUUCGGAGCUUGGCACUAAUAUGUUCGGCGGCUGCCAUCAAACUCUUUUGCAAUCUUAGAGCCCGCCUCUAACAUGCAGAUGGUCCAUCAGCGUAAUUUGAUGAACUUGAAUAUGCUAGGCACUACUAGAAGUUUGGAAACCCUAAACUCAAAUUCUAGAAUUCUUGUACCUUUCCUGUUCUACAGCCAAAGGCUGUUUAUCUCAAUUCCUGAGAUUUUGUUUCCCAAUACAACAGGAGAUGUCUUGACAUCACAAUCAUGUGUUUAUUUU
Molecule: non-coding RNA, 2050 nt
Organism: Triticum urartu
Lineage: Eukaryota; Viridiplantae; Streptophyta; Magnoliopsida; Poales; Poaceae
Source: RefSeq, a predicted model, not a curated record